This 66-nucleotide non-coding RNA is filed under the name Acinetobacter sp. 199. Its description in RNAcentral is "partial 16S ribosomal RNA". It matches the Rfam family "Bacterial small subunit ribosomal RNA", at positions 1 to 66 of the family's 1533-position model. The record is from RNAcentral. Lineage: Bacteria; Pseudomonadati; Pseudomonadota; Gammaproteobacteria; Moraxellales; Moraxellaceae.
AAACUGAAGAGUUUGAUCAUGGCUCAGAUUGAACGCUGGCGGCAGGCUUAACACAUGCAAGUCGAG